AAUAAAGUGCCUGAUUAAAGGGUUAUUCUGAUAGGAUAAAUUAAGUARAUUUCUACCUUUAUUA
This 64-nucleotide transfer RNA is filed under the name Parnassius phoebus (small apollo). RNAcentral's name for it is "tRNA-Ile". The record is from RNAcentral. Lineage: Eukaryota; Metazoa; Arthropoda; Insecta; Lepidoptera; Papilionidae.